UACGGAGGGUGCAAGCGUUAUCCGGAUUUACUGGGCUUAAAGGGCGCGCAGGCGGAUUAGUAAGUCAGUGGUGAAAGCCUUGAGCUUAACUCGAGAACUGCCAUUGAUACUAUUAGUCUUGAAUGUUGUUGAGGUUUGCGGAAUGGGUCAUGUAGCGGUGAAAUGCAUAGAUAUGACCCGGAACACCUAUUGCGAAGGCAGCAGGCUAAACAAAUAUUGACGCUGAGGCUCGAAAGCGUGGGGAUCAAACAGG
This 253-nucleotide ribosomal RNA is filed under the name uncultured bacterium. RNAcentral's name for it is "partial 16S ribosomal RNA". It matches the Rfam family "Bacterial small subunit ribosomal RNA", at positions 524 to 776 of the family's 1533-position model. The record is from RNAcentral.